GGGAAUAUUGGGCAAUGGGCGCAAGCCUGACCCAGCAACGCCGCGUGAAGGAAGAAGGCCCUCGGGUUGUAAACUUCUUUUAUUCGGGACGAAACAAAUGACGGUACCGAAUGAAUAAGCCACGGCUAACUACGUGCCAGCAGCCGCGGUAAUACGUAGGUGGCAAGCGUUAUCCGGAUUUACUGGGUGUAAAGGGCGUGUAGGCGGGAGAGCAAGUCAGACGUGAAAUUCCAGGGCUCAACCCUGGAACUGCGUUUGAAACUGUUCUUCUUGAGUGAUGGAGAGGCAGGCGGAAUUCCGUGUGUAGCGGUGAAAUGCGUAGAUAUACGGAGGAACACCAGUGGCGAAGGCGGCCUGCUGGACAUUAACUGACGCUGAGGCGCGAAAGCGUGGGGAGCAAAC
RNAcentral lists this ribosomal RNA (402 nucleotides) under uncultured bacterium. RNAcentral's name for it is "bacterial SSU rRNA". It matches the Rfam family "Bacterial small subunit ribosomal RNA", at positions 357 to 773 of the family's 1533-position model. The record is from RNAcentral.